This is a non-coding RNA of Python bivittatus (Burmese python), 529 nucleotides long. The record is from RefSeq and is a predicted model, not a curated record. Lineage: Eukaryota; Metazoa; Chordata; Lepidosauria; Squamata; Pythonidae.
CCUCGUCCCUAGAGAGAAGAGGCGAGGGCGGACGAGCCGAGUUUGUGGCGUGAUAACAAGGGUUUGUUGGCUUCGGGAGAGUGUCUCAGUUCAUCACUGAUGUGGUAUUGCUGUUGGACAUUUUGAGAAACAGAGAUUCUGAGGUACCAAAUGCUGACCAAAAGGCUGCAGUCACUACUGUUCAUCUCCAUCCCAUUGCCAGGAAUGCAUAUUGUGGUGAAGCUCAAUACAUCAUGUGAGCAGUCCAUUUCCUCAUUGGAAGGAACUUUUGUCCACAGUUGCCUUGGGAAGUUCUUUAAAGGCGAUGUAACAGAACUGCAAGAAUGAGAAUGAAAGAGAACAACAAAAAACUCUCCUGCGCCCAAAUGAUUAAGUCCUAGAGAGAAAUGAACAUGAUGAGAAAGCUGAAAUCUCCUUCAAGCCUUCUUCCUCUGGAAUCUCCAAACACUCAGCAACUGGGAGUUACAACAACUUAUUAGUCAGCAUUUGUUCCUUGCAAAAUAACGCUAACAAAGAAAUACACAAGGAA